CGCCUGUCACAGUGAUAUGAGUAUCCCCGUGUUUUGUGUAUCCCCUACUAAUAUCACUAGGGAUAUGUGUAUCCCCAUGCUCACCUCACUAGGGAUAUGUGUAUCCCCGGCAAUAUGGCGGUCGUGUUCUGCGUAUCCCUAAAGAACCACCCUACAUUCCCACAUCACUAGGGAUACAAGUAUCCCUAACAUUUCGCGGGAAAUAAAACAUGCAGAACUGUACAUACAAGCUUGAAAAUAACACUCUAAAUAGUGUGUUG
Non-coding RNA from Paramuricea clavata, 260 nucleotides. The record is from the annotation of a GenBank genome assembly. Lineage: Eukaryota; Metazoa; Cnidaria; Anthozoa; Malacalcyonacea; Plexauridae.